UGUGUAGGUGGACUGGUAAGUACCUUGUGAAAUCCCCCGGCUCAACCGAGGAACUGCUUGGUAUACUGCUGGUCUUGAGCAGCCUAGGGGCGAGCGGAACAAAUGGUGGAGCGGUGAAAUGCGUAGAUAUCAUUUGGAACGCCAAUGGUGAAAACAGCUCGCUGGGGGCUCGCUGACACUGAGACACGAAAGCUAGGGGAGCAAACGGGAUUAGAUACCCCGGUAGUCCUAGCCGUAAACGAUGUCCACUAGAUCGCAGUCUCUUUGACGGGAUUGCGGUCGAAGCAAAAGUGCUAAGUGGACCGCCUGGGAAGUACGGUCGCAAGGCUAAA
This 332-nucleotide ribosomal RNA is filed under the name uncultured bacterium. RNAcentral describes it as "bacterial SSU rRNA". It matches the Rfam family "Bacterial small subunit ribosomal RNA", at positions 568 to 898 of the family's 1533-position model. The record is from RNAcentral.